Molecule: long non-coding RNA, 1631 nt
Organism: Manis pentadactyla (Chinese pangolin)
Lineage: Eukaryota; Metazoa; Chordata; Mammalia; Pholidota; Manidae
Exons: 3
Source: RefSeq, a predicted model, not a curated record
UUUUAAUGCAGUAGUUUCCAAUCUUUUGGAAUAUGAAUGAUACUUUUCAACCUAAAAACAUUCAUGUACUCCCACAUGAUAGCAAGCUUCAGGUUUUAUCAUUUUAGGUCAUGCCUAGAGAAAGAGCUUCUCCUCCACACAGGAAAGUUGUAGGGAAUAUUCUUACUGCUUUGGGUCACUUGUCCUUCUGUCUGUCCAACAUCAGGCCCAGCCCUCUAUGCAGGAUCAGCUUCAUCUAAACCACACAGAUCGGGUCCCUCACAGAAAAGACCAGUUGUAUAUCCUGAAUAAAGGAGACAGGAUGAUGAGCUGGCCAAAAAAGGAAUGCAAACUUGACCUUGACUUUAAGGUCAAAGCAUUUUCAGACUGUGCAGUCAGCAGAGAAUAGAAAAAAAUCAAUAUGAAACAUAUUAGAAGAGAAAGAGGGUAAGAGUGAUGCAGAAGUGCCGGGAAGCCAUGCAAGACUUGGAGACAAUGGAGCUGCUGUGCUCCCAGCACCAGCUACCACAGGGCAGCCAUGGCGCCUGCCUGGAGAGAGGAGAAGAAAUAGUCAGAGGACAAGGAGAGCAAAGGCCAGGGAAAGACAGCACCACAAACUGCUUCGGGGGAGGUACAUGCGCUGGGAUGAGUUAAUCCCUGCAACCAUCUGUUGGAAAGGCAGUCAAGCCUUUCCUCCAACUUUAACAACAUGGUCUAUCCAUACUCAUGAACUCUUAGAACAGGUGGUUAGUGCAUUGUGGUUCAGUGAAUGAAUGACACACAGGGAUGCUUGAUUUGUGGAGCUGUAUGUCCAUUGGAGUUACAUGAGCUUUCUGACAUCAAAUCUCUCAGCCUCCGGGGUCCAGCUGUAUUAGAUGGCAUUAUGCCUGCUCUGUUUUCCUCACUGAGUUCUUCUAAGAAAUGGGAAAUAGUUUGUGAAACCAUAAAAGAGGAUGCCAGCCAAGGACAUACAGUAUUUAUCAUUUUAUUUCUAUUUUAUCUUAUAGAAGAAUUUAUAAACUGAAUAUCCUUAGGUUUCCCCAGCACACAGGUACAGGUGAUUUCACAUUUAGAGUUAAACUUGAAUUUUGUAGUGGUAAGAAUGUAUUUUGCUGGCCAUGAGCUCCACUCACUCAGACAGGCAUGUCAUUCCCCACAAAAACUACCCCAUGUAUUUCUGUGGGUCACAGUGGGUAACUUAUGUGCCCUCAUGGAUCCAGUCCAGGGCUCCCCUCACCAUAGAUUAUUGCUGCUCUCCCCACCAGCCUUUACCCACUGAAAAGUAGAUUCUCGAAGCUCCUGGACCAGAUCUUUGCCCAACAGCGUGGCCCCAAAGCCGUGGGGCUCCUGGCCCGCAAGAUGCUGUCUUCUGGGAAAUAAGGGAAUCGCUUCCUAGCUUCACAGUUACACCUGUUAAAGGGCACCUCUAGCUCUGGGGUGUGGUUGGAGCCCACAGGUCUCACACAGGAGUGAAGGGUAGGGUACCGGAGGGGCGGGUUUGGUUCCCUAUGCGUUUCUGUAUGUAUUUGAUCCCCAAAUGGGAUUAUGGUUUGAAAUGCUUUUGGGAGAUUCUUUAUCCACCAUAAAAACACCAAAUGAAUAGGAAAAGCCAAAUAGACAAGAGCUUCUUCCAAAGCUAAAUGGCAGGUAUA